AAUGAACGCUGGCGGCGCGCCUAAUACAUGCAAGUCGAGCGAGAAGACGUAGCAAUACGUUUGUAAAGCGGCGAACGGGUGAGGAAUACAUGGGUAACCUACCCUCGAGUGGGGAAUAACUAGCCGAAAGGUUAGCUAAUACCGCGUACGCUUCUUGGACUUCGGUUCAGGGAGGAAAGCGAUGCCGAGGGUAUCGCGCUCUUGGAUGGGCUCAUGUCCUAUCAGCUUGUUGGGAGGUAACGGCUCACCAAGGCUUCGACGGGUAGCUGGUCUGAGAGGACGAUCAGCCACACUGGCACUGCGACACGGGCCAGACUCCUACGGGAGGCAGCAGUAAGGAAUAUUGCGCAAUGGGCGAAAGCCUGACGCAGCGACGCCGCGUGGGGGAUGAAGGUCUUCGGAUUGUAAA
This 409-nucleotide ribosomal RNA is filed under the name uncultured bacterium. RNAcentral describes it as "bacterial SSU rRNA". It matches the Rfam family "Bacterial small subunit ribosomal RNA", at positions 29 to 429 of the family's 1533-position model. The record is from RNAcentral.